Molecule: RNA transcript, 2249 nt
Organism: Triticum aestivum (bread wheat)
Lineage: Eukaryota; Viridiplantae; Streptophyta; Magnoliopsida; Poales; Poaceae
Exons: 8
Source: RefSeq, a predicted model, not a curated record
UGGCAGCGUUGUGUAGUGGGCCGGAGGUAACGCUCGGACGGACGGCAGUUUCCUGCCAGGACGGUGUUCCAUGGAUCAGAAUCGAAGCCGCCGUCUGAUCCGUGGAUCGGGAAGUUUGCUUUUCCGUCUGGCCGCCCCAGAGUCGAAUUGAAUGGAGGGUCCAGCGUCGUGUCUUGCAAAGCGAGUGGCGUUUUGAAGGCGACGACGGGGAGAUAGAGGUCUGGAGCGGCGGCGGCGAUCCACCAUGGAGUUUUUGAUGCAACCAAUAGGCAGAUCUGCUCUGCUUGAGGAGGUAGGAGAGGGGUUGGUGCCUGCGCCUCUAGUUGCGGAUGACGGUGUGCCGGAGCAGCAGAGGCUGCCGGAACGGAGGCCACAGCGGGCAGAAGGGAUCUGACGUCCGAGGCUCUGAGCUCUCGACGGGGAAGAUGAAUCCCCAGGUACCCCGAUGGAAUAAGAGACUGAGGAUUGGUGCUGCUGCACCAAGCAGGACACCUUGCUCAACUCGAAUCAGUGUGUUUCAGAAGGCUGUUAGGAAUUUGAGAGAGGAUGGGAAAUGCUGCUGGACAAAUACAAGAUGAGAACACAUCCUUACAUGACAGCCUUUUGAGAUUAGGCAGAAAUGCUGCUGGGCAUCUAAAUAAUCAGCUUGCUGCAACUUCAAGCAGAACUGGAUGUGAAAUAUCAGAUGGAGAGAGAAUCCCGUGCAUCGGCAUUGAAUGUGCAGAUGGGUUUGGUUGAAGGGAUUAUUGACAUCUCUGACAGUGAACGCAACGAUGAAGUUAAUUUUGAAGAGUGGUCUGAUCCUGAGCAUGCUAAACUGGUUGAGACAGAUAGAAGGUUGAGAGAGCAAGAGGAGAAAGAUGCAGAGGUCGUGAAGAUGUAUCAGGAAAUGUAUGGCAAAAAAGAUGGGCACCAAGAAGUCUCAGGCACGGAUAAUGAUUCACUUGUUGAGAAGCACCGUAAGUUAAGGGAGCAAGAGGAAAAAGACACCAAGGUUGCAAUGAUGUAUCAAACACUGUAUGAUCAAAAUGCUACUGAAGCUCAGAUCACCAAUGUGCCAGCAAACAGAAUUCUUGCUCAGGCGGCAAAACCUGCAGGUCGGGAAAGAAGCCCCAUGGAGGGUGGGCGUAGAGGACGGGGGUGCGUUGGUGGUGCCUCCAGGGCAGGGAACAUGAAUUCCAUGAAGUGGUCUUGGAGGCGGAAAGGGAAGAAGUCGGAAACGGGAUCCAAGGGGCAGAGGAGAGUGAGGUUCUCGAACACUGUGGAGACGAUAUGCCCAUCGAAAUCCUGAGUGAAGACAGUUCUAGUGAUGAUGGAAUGCAGCAAGCGAAGAUGAUCACGAGCCUGCACAUCUACCUGGUAGCAACGUAGAUGGUUUGGAUACAUUGGUUGCAAAUGACAUCGUGGCGGCGAGGUCAAAGGAGGGUGGAAGAACCACCGUCAGCCAUGUCAGGAGUGCAGCACGCGGUGGAGUUGACGCUGCUCCGCACGGACAUGGGACUCACAAAGGCCCUGGGACCAGCCGAUAUCGGGAGUAGCCCAUGUGGGAGAAUUGAGCGUCGCGAGAGCGAACCUGGAUACACAUUUCAGUGGUUCAUCAGUUAUGCAGUAAUGCUGGAUAUAAUCACAUCUGCUGGCUUACAUGCAAAAAGGUUUGUAGUUAAAAAUCCUUAAUUUACAACAGUCCUUGGUUGACGUUUGAGCAGAUGUUGGCAGAGCAAUUUGGUCAUCUAAUACAUGAGCACAUAAUAAUUCUUGUUAAUAAAUCAAUCAGAUCUAGCGGUACUAAUAGAUGGUAGAGCAUGAUAUCUUACUUCUGAUGAGAAUAUAAUUAGAUAUGAUAAUAUAUGUGCGUGGAAUGGUCUCUGAAAGUACUGCAUAAUGGAGAGAUCGACAAACUAAGAUGCAUCACUGACAAUAAAAUUCAGUUUGGCAUGAACAUCUGAUUUGGGUAGGAAAAACCUUGGUCUACCAACUGCGCGGCAUGUGCGACAAACAUCAGGAGAACCAAAUCAAACCUUAGAUGGCACACUGCGCAGCAUGCAUGUAGAUCGAGUGGGUGUGAUGUACUUGAUCAGCCGGUGUAGCUAGUGAAUGUAUACGGUGGUCGGUCAGCACGUAGACCAAGGUAGUGAUGUGACUAGUGUCAAAGUGUUGUUAGAAAAAGGUCUCAAAGUUAAAAAAAAACUGUAGCUGGUGGAACUUGAAAAAAAAACGCAGGCGCAAUGAUUUGCAGAGCUUAGUACCAC